This is a non-coding RNA of Pelobates cultripes (western spadefoot toad), 277 nucleotides long. The record is from the annotation of a GenBank genome assembly. Lineage: Eukaryota; Metazoa; Chordata; Amphibia; Anura; Pelobatidae.
CCUCCACAUAAGUGUUGAGCCUAAUUUGUAUUGUUUGUGUGUACACUCUUUGUUUGUUUGAUGAGCAGUCUUAGUUGGUUGUCACGCAUUACUGCUAUAAUCCCAGCCUUCAAGCAUGUCAAGAUGGUUCUCCCCCAUUUGAGCUAGUUUAACUCUUGUCUUUUCUCUUCCAUCCCUUUCUAUCUUUUUCAUAUUAGUUCAUCAUUCUCUUGGAUGACAAGCCCAAUUUAUUGUUAAAGUUUUCUGACCAUUUGUGGGGGGACAUUAUGUAUUCUGC